This is an unclassified non-coding RNA of Pogonomyrmex barbatus (red harvester ant), 699 nucleotides long. The record is from RefSeq and is a predicted model, not a curated record. NCBI's taxonomy places the organism in Eukaryota, Metazoa, Arthropoda, Insecta, Hymenoptera, Formicidae.
AGAUGAACUGUGAGUACAAUCUAAUACAACCAGUUCAACUAAAAAGAACAAGUCUAAUAUCUCGUCGGAAACGGCCAUUUUCCAGGAGUAUCAGUAUCAGUAUCGAAGCUUUUGAGUCCUUCUCGGGCCGUUGAGUGAUUCGUCUUUUGUCCCCACAAAAAAUUGUUAAUUGAUAUUGCGUCAUGACGCUUUUUUGAUUCUGCUCAUACAUUUUUCGAAUUGAAUCGUAGUCUGUGUUGGUGCCGUAAGACAGUUUCGGUCAAGAAUAAGAAGAAGAAGACGAAGCUCUUGCAUCGGUUACGUUGUAAACAUACCAAACUGUGGCUUUAGUAUCCAACUUUUAUCAAAACUCGCGAGUGUUUACUCCUCUCUGCAAGCUACAAUUUCAAACUUGAAAGAAGAUCGAUUUUGUAAAGUUGAUAGCGAAUUGGACCACUUGUAUCGGCUGGAAUUCUCUAUUAGAAUUAUCUCUAUUAGAAAAAAGGCUUCUGCAAUUUGGAAAGGAAGAGGAAAAGAAACAAGGAAAAGGAGAAGAAAAGGAAAGAAAUUGAGCACAUGAGAGAAUGCGAACAUUUCUUUAGUAAUUCUGAAAGAUUGUAUGGAAAAAGAUUGCUAAUGAUGGAUAAUGGAUAUCAUACCAUGUUGAAAUCUUUAUGUUUGAGAUAACGAUACACUGGCACUUGGUACUUUGUUUACAAU